GACGUAGGGGGCCAGCGUUGUUCGGAAUUACUGGGUGUAAAGGGUCAGUAGGCGGUGCGGCAAGUCGGGAGUGAAAUCUCUGGGCUUAACCCAGAGGCUGCUUCCGAAACUGCUGUGCUUGAGUGUGGGAGAGGCGCGUGGAAUUGCAGGUGUAGCGGUGAAAUGCGUAGAUAUCUGCAGGAACACCCGUGGCGAAAGCGGCGCGCUGGACCACAACUGACGCUGAAUGACGAAAGCUAGGGGAGCAAACAGG
This 253-nucleotide ribosomal RNA is filed under the name uncultured bacterium. RNAcentral's name for it is "partial 16S ribosomal RNA". It matches the Rfam family "Bacterial small subunit ribosomal RNA", at positions 524 to 776 of the family's 1533-position model. The record is from RNAcentral. RNAcentral also lists the same sequence under 1 other name.